The sequence is a ribosomal RNA, 218 nucleotides long. It matches the Rfam family "Bacterial small subunit ribosomal RNA", at positions 1 to 212 of the family's 1533-position model.
UUUAUGGAGAGUUUGAUCCUGGCUCAGGAUGAACGCUGGCGGCGUGCCUAAUACAUGCAAGUCGAGCGAACAGACGAGGAGCUUGCUCCUUUGACGUUAGCGGCGGACGGGUGAGUAACACGUGGGUAACCUACCUAUAAGACUGGGAUAACUUCGGGAAACCGGAGCUAAUACCGGAUAAUAUUUUGAACCGCAUGGUUCAAAAGUGAAAGAUGGCU